AUACGGAGGGUGCAAGCGUUAUUCGGAAUCACUGGGCGUAAAGGACGCGUAGGCGGGUUGGCAAGUCAGAUGUGAAAUCCUACAGCUUAACUGUAGAACUGCAUUUGAAACUGCUAACCUAGAGUAUGGGAGGGGGAGAUGGAAUUAGUGGUGUAGGGGUAAAAUCCGUAGAUAUCACUAGGAAUACCGAAAGCGAAGGCGAUCUCCUGGAACAUAACUGACGCUAAGGCGUGAAAGCGUGGGGAGCAAGCAGGAUUAGAAACCCCAGUAGUCC
This 274-nucleotide ribosomal RNA is filed under the name uncultured bacterium. Its description in RNAcentral is "partial 16S ribosomal RNA". It matches the Rfam family "Bacterial small subunit ribosomal RNA", at positions 523 to 796 of the family's 1533-position model. The record is from RNAcentral.